This 387-nucleotide unclassified non-coding RNA is filed under the name soil metagenome. Its description in RNAcentral is "partial contains 5.8S ribosomal RNA, internal transcribed spacer 2, and large subunit ribosomal RNA". The stretch from base 1 to 120 matches the Rfam family "5.8S ribosomal RNA", at positions 35 to 154 of the family's 154-position model. The record is from RNAcentral.
GAUGAAGAACGCAGCGAAAUGCGAUAAGUAAUGUGAAUUGCAGAAUUCAGUGAAUCAUCGAAUCUUUGAACGCACCUUGCACCCUUUGGUAUUCCGAAGGGUACGCUCGUUUGAGUGUCAUUGUACUCUCACACUUCUAAUUCCUUUCGGGAUUGGGAGCGGUGGACUUGGGUGUUGCUGCUUUAGUUGUGGCUCACCUCAAAUAAGUUAGUGCAACUCUUGGUUGGACAUAGUACGGCGUGAUAAGUGUCUUCGCCGGCGCCUCUGUAAGGAGGGUGGCCGAUCGGGAGCUCUGUGCUUCAAACCGUCUUCGGACAAUCUUUGACAACUUGACCUCAAAUCGAGUAGGACUACCCGCUGAACUUAAGCAUAUCAAUAAGCGGAGGA